RNAcentral lists this ribosomal RNA (253 nucleotides) under uncultured Thermoplasmatales archaeon. RNAcentral describes it as "partial 16S ribosomal RNA". It matches the Rfam family "Archaeal small subunit ribosomal RNA", at positions 1084 to 1338 of the family's 1478-position model. The record is from RNAcentral. Lineage: Archaea; Methanobacteriati; Thermoplasmatota; Thermoplasmata; Thermoplasmatales.
AGUGGGCGCACAUUAAGGGGACCGCUGGCGCUAAGUCAGAGGAAGGAGAGGUCAACGGUAGGUCAGUAUGCCCCGAAUCUCCCGGGCUACACGCGCGCUACAAAGGACAGGACAAUGGGAUGCAAUACCGAGAGGUAACGCCAACCCGAAACCUGUUCGUAGUUCGGACUGAGGGCUGUAACCUCGCCCUCACGAAGCUGGAUUCCGUAGUAAUCGCGGGUCAACAUCCCGCGGUGAAUAUGCCCUGCUCUUU